RNAcentral lists this ribosomal RNA (589 nucleotides) under uncultured bacterium. RNAcentral's name for it is "partial 16S ribosomal RNA". It matches the Rfam family "Bacterial small subunit ribosomal RNA", at positions 355 to 1376 of the family's 1533-position model. The record is from RNAcentral.
UGGGGAAUCUUCCGCAAUGGACGAAAGUCUGACGGAGCAACGCCGCGUGAGUGAAGAAGGUUUUCGGAUCGUAAAACUCUGUCUUUUGGGGCGAACGUGAGUAUGGUGAACAAUCAUAGUCAGUGACGGUACCAAAGGAGGAAGCCACGGCUAACUACGUGCCAGCAGCCGCGGUAAUACGUAGGUGGCAAGCGUUGUCCGGAAUUAUUGGGCGUAAAGAGCGCGUAGGCGGGAUAGUCAGUCUGUUGUAAAGUGCGGGGCUCAACCCCGUGAUCGCAAUGGAAACAGCUAUUCUUGAGUGCAGGAGAGGAAAGUGGAAUUCCCAGUGUAGCGGUGAAAUGCGUAGAUAUUGGGAGGAACACCAGUGGCGAAGGCGACUUUCUGGACUGUGUCUGACGCUGAGGCGCGAAAGCCAGGGGAGCGAACGGGAUUAGAUACCCCCGGUAGUCCUGGCCGUAAACGAUGGGUACUAGGUGUGGGAGGUAUCGACCCCUUCCGUGCCGGAGUUAACGCAAUAAGUACCCCGCCUGGGGAGUACGGUCGCAAGACUGAAACUCAAAGGAAUUGACGGGGUCAUAGCUGUUUCCUG